UCCUACGGGAGGCAGCAGUGGGGAAUAUUGCACAAUGGGGGAAACCCUGAUGCAGCAACGCCGCGUGAGUGAAAAAGUCAUUCGUGAUGUAAAGCUCUAUCAGCAGGGAAGAAAAUGACGGUACCUGAGUAAGAAGCCCCGGCUAACUACGUGCCAGCAGCCGCGGUAAUACGUAGGGGGCAAGCGUUAUCCGGAUUUACUGGGUGUAAAGGGAGCGUAGACGGCCAGACAAG
RNAcentral lists this ribosomal RNA (233 nucleotides) under uncultured bacterium. Its description in RNAcentral is "partial 16S ribosomal RNA". It matches the Rfam family "Bacterial small subunit ribosomal RNA", at positions 337 to 587 of the family's 1533-position model. The record is from RNAcentral.